This 301-nucleotide ribosomal RNA is filed under the name uncultured bacterium. RNAcentral describes it as "partial 16S ribosomal RNA". It matches the Rfam family "Bacterial small subunit ribosomal RNA", at positions 509 to 807 of the family's 1533-position model. The record is from RNAcentral.
CAGCCGCCGCGGUAAUACGAGGGGGGCAAGCGUUGUUCGGAUUUAUUGGGCGUAAAGGGUGCGUAGGCGGUUUGGCAAGUCUUGUGUGAAAUCUUCGGGCUCAACCCGAAGCCUGCACGAGAAACUACCGGGCUUGAGUAUUGGAGAGGUGAGUGGAAUUUCCGGUGUAGCGGUGAAAUGCGUAGAUAUCGGAAGGAACACCUGUGGCGAAAGCGGCUCACUGGACAAUAACUGACGCUGAUGCACGAAAGCUAGGGGAGCAAACAGGAUUAGAUACCCCCGUAGUCCCUGUCUCUUAUAC